Cydia amplana is the source of this 4738-nucleotide RNA transcript. It is a transcript of the gene named nuclear pore complex protein Nup160 homolog, with no coding region annotated. The transcript is spliced from 24 exons. The record is from RefSeq and is a predicted model, not a curated record. NCBI's taxonomy places the organism in Eukaryota, Metazoa, Arthropoda, Insecta, Lepidoptera, Tortricidae.
CCAUAAUAACACUUUGUUUUAGGAGGCACACACAGCACAUUACAAGACAUCAAGCUGCCUCAGAGAGCUGGAGGAUAUUGGUAUAAGGAUUCAAAGAAGGCCAACACUAGAAAUCGUUUUAUAUACUGGCAAACUACAUCAGACGCUAUUGAGCUAUCAGAGGCCUCGCUAGAUGUGAACCUAACUAGCAGUAACCUACGAUGCAAAGUGGCUCCGGGAACACCACCCCUCAGCGGGAUGUCUGUUUAUGAGAGGACAUCUUCCCAGGACAUUGUUAUCUUAGCUGCAACUGUAUCAUCAGUCCAUAGACUCAUAUUUCCACAUCCAGAGAGUAUUGAUAAAAAGUCCACCUUUGGUUCUAUGAGCAGCUCUACCCCUUCAAUAUUCCAUGACACUGGCGCCAUCAAUAAUCCUAAUAAUUAUCACAUUCUUAAUCAGUAUUCUAAUCCAACAACUGGGGUGGCUCAUACUUGCGCAUCCCUCCUCCUUGACAAUGGUGAAGCGGUAUUUGCUCUUGCAUUUGGCUAUGGCGGGGAAGGUGGCUUGUUACUAGUCAAGCUGCCUGUUGCUGGGUCAGCUGUAACUACGUUAUUGAAGAGAGAGUCUACAGUGCCGAGAUUUUUGUCUGGCAUCACUGGAGCACUUAGAGGAAAAAAUGUAGACAGCAUAGAGACAUAUGGCGUAGUGCUCACCCACGGCCUGGCCAUAGCGAUAUGCGGCGACGCGUGCCUCCGCGCGUGGGCUAUCAACGAUGGCGGGGCACCUUGCGUGGUCACCCCGCCGCUGUCGCAGACCGUCGUGCGGCCCAAACCGCCCCCACACGGUCAUAUGCUACAAAAGACCACCGGGCCAAACGGAGACGUGACACUAGUCGCGUAUCUCUCGUUCCCCAACGAGUGCGAAUUCGUCGUCAUGAAGAUGCUGGACGCUGGCGCGGGCGCCGUCAAGUUCUCACACGUUUGUCUCAUCUUUGGACCACAGAAAUAUUAUCCUGUGUUCCAGCUGGAUCUUCUGGAUUAUACAAUAGGGUACGGAGAUGGCAGUGACGUCAUUUGGGCCCUGUGGAGUCAACCUGAUGGAGAAACUAUCAUAACAAGCAGCACCCUGAGCGCGGAGGUGUCAUGGCGCAUGGUGGCGCCCCGGGAGCCGCCGCCGCCGCUGCCCGCGCUGUCUUCUCACCAGCAGUACCGCGAGCGGCUGCUCACGCCGGGCCUGUUCCCGCCGCAGGUGGUGCGGAAGGCUCUAGCCAUCUACCGGCGAACAUGGGGCAGCAGCGAAUCGGCGAGCGAGGGCGACCUGAGCGAGUCGGCCAUGAACGCGGUGCAGACGCGCCUGCGGCACCUCACCGCCCGCGCCGCCUCGCCCGACCACUCGCACUUGAUGCACAAAUGCUGGUCGGAUUUGUAUAGCUGGUGUAUGCAGUACAUGGAGGGUCUACAAAAGCCUUUGGGGUUAAUGGUUGCUAAAUCGAGCUGUGACGUGGAUAGCGGAUGGUGGUGCGGCGUAGUGGGGCGUGCGGGCAUCUCCCUCGUGCGCGAACUGGAGCCGCUCGAGCGUAUGAUGUUGUCGCCAGAUGUCGCCGCGCUCGAGUCAGGACUGGGUGGUGCGGGCGAGCUGAGCGCGGACGCGGUGCGCGUGGUGGCGGCGGGCGCGCUGUGGGAGCGCGCCGCGUCGGGCGCCGGCGCCGCCGAGCUGGAGCGGCGGCUGUUCGCGUGCGCCGCGCCGCAGCACCGCCUGCUGCCGCGCCUGCUGCACCUGCUGCUCGCGCCGCCCGACCGGCCCGACCCCGACUCCGCGUUACCGACAUUGGCGCCGAGCCAAAUAGACGAACUGGAAGCAGUCCUGGAACCCAUCAAAGACUUGCAGAAUGCCGUCUUGGAACUAAACGACGCCCUGAGACUGGAUGUACCCGACAUAGAUACAUCAAAAUGCGAAGACGAAGACCUAAGAGAAUACGACAGUUUAUUUGCCAGCGACCUUGGCGUUUCAAUCUUAACAGAAUCCAUACGUCAGAUGGCUGAAAUGAGGUUACGCGUGGUUCGCGGCGCGCUAGUGGCGCUGGGCGUGGUGCGCGGCGCGGGCGGCGUGCCCGGCGCCGGCCACUGCGCCGUGCACUGGCAGGCCUACCGCGCGCUGCUGUGGCUGCGCGCCGCCACGCUGCAGCGAGGGGGCGCGGGCUCGCUGGAGCUGUUCCGGCUGAAGCUGGGCGCGCUGGGCGGCGCGGCGGUGGGGGGGGCGGGGGCGGGGGCGGCGGGCGGCGCAUGCGCGGGCUACGCGGCGGGGGCGGGCGGCGCGCGCGCCCGCCGCCACCUCGCGCACGCGCGGGCCGCCACGCACUGGCACCAGGCGCUGCCGCUGCUCACAUACCAUCUGGCGCAUCAGCUAUGGGCGGUGAGUGGAGGCUUCGAAUUCGGAUGGUGGCUGGCCUCCAUCAACCAGCCGCGUUUGGUACAAAGCUAUGUCUCGAUGCUCGAGCCUUGGUGCGAGUGGAACGCUUGCUCUCGCCAAUUCAUCCUCGGCCUGUCUCUCCUGGACCUCUCGGACGCGGAAGGCGCGUACACGGCCUUCUGUAAAGCAGCGAAGGGAGUCAGUACGGAGCCGUUCCUGCGGCAGCUGGUGGCGGCGCCCGACGCGCGCCUCACGCAGCACCAGGCGCUAGUGCUCUAUUAUAUGAAGGUGAUCAAACUCUUCGAGAUCCACGACGCAGGCGCGUGUGUGGUGCGUCUCGCGGAGACCGCCAUCAGCAUCGCCGACAAGAACGAUCCCAAUUUGCCGAUGUUCCAGUGGGUGGUGUUCAAGUGGCACCUGGCGGGCGGGCGCGUGGAGCGCGCGCUCGGCGCCGCAGCCGCCAACCCCGCGCCGCACGCGCGCGCCGCCGCCGCCGCCACGCUGCUUACUACGCUGGCAUCCCGAAAACAGCUUAGCGCCCUUGUGUCAUGCGGCGCGCUAGCGGCAGAGGCGGAGCGCGCGGCGGCCGCGCGCGCCAAACUGCACGACGCGCACGGCGACAACCCCUACUACGACUUCUUAUACGCCCUGCACAUAUCUAGGCAUCAUUAUAGAAAAGCCGCCUCAAUAAUGUACGAGCGCGCGGCCCGCUGCGCCGCGGAGCGGUCGGAGGCGGCGGACGGCGGGCGCGCGCGCUGGCUGGCGGCCGCGCUCACGUGUCUGCGGCUCGCCAAGCCCGAGCACGCCUUCCUGGCGCGACCCGCGCCGCGCGCGCUGCAGGUGUGUGUCUCUAUACUGUACGGUCGGAGGCGGCGGACGGCGGGCGCGCGCGCUGGCUGGCGGCCGCGCUCACGUGUCUGCGGCUCGCCAAGCCCGAGCACGCCUUCCUGGCGCGACCCGCGCCGCGCGCGCUGCAGGUGUGUGUCUCUAUACUGUACGGUCGGAGGCGGCGGACGGCGGGCGCGCGCGCUGGCUGGCGGCCGCGCUCACGUGUCUGCGGCUCGCCAAGCCCGAGCACGCCUUCCUGGCGCGACCCGCGCCGCGCGCGCUGCAGGUGUGUGUCUCUAUACUGUACGGUCGGAGGCGGCGGACGGCGGGCGCGCGCGCUGGCUGGCGGCCGCGCUCACGUGUCUGCGGCUCGCCAAGCCCGAGCACGCCUUCCUGGCGCGACCCGCGCCGCGCGCGCUGCAGGUGUGUGUCUCUAUACUGUACGGUCGGAGGCGGCGGACGGCGGGCGCGCGCGCUGGCUGGCGGCCGCGCUCACGUGUCUGCGGCUCGCCAAGCCCGAGCACGCCUUCCUGGCGCGACCCGCGCCGCGCGCGCUGCAGGUGUGUGUCUCUAUACUGUACGGUCGGAGGCGGCGGACGGCGGGCGCGCGCGCUGGCUGGCGGCCGCGCUCACGUGUCUGCGGCUCGCCAAGCCCGAGCACGCCUUCCUGGCGCGACCCGCGCCGCGCGCGCUGCAGGUGUGUGUCUCUAUACUGUACGGUCGGAGGCGGCGGACGGCGGGCGCGCGCGCUGGCUGGCGGCCGCGCUCACGUGUCUGCGGCUCGCCAAGCCCGAGCACGCCUUCCUGGCGCGACCCGCGCCGCGCGCGCUGCAGGUGUGUGUCUCUAUACUGUACGGUCGGAGGCGGCGGACGGCGGGCGCGCGCGCUGGCUGGCGGCCGCGCUCACGUGUCUGCGGCUCGCCAAGCCCGAGCACGCCUUCCUGGCGCGACCCGCGCCGCGCGCGCUGCAGGUGUGUGUCUCUAUACUGUACGGUCGGAGGCGGCGGACGGCGGGCGCGCGCGCUGGCUGGCGGCCGCGCUCACGUGUCUGCGGCUCGCCAAGCCCGAGCACGCCUUCCUGGCGCGACCCGCGCCGCGCGCGCUGCAGGUGUGUGUCUCUAUACUGUACGGUCGGAGGCGGCGGACGGCGGGCGCGCGCGCUGGCUGGCGGCCGCGCUCACGUGUCUGCGGCUCGCCAAGCCCGAGCACGCCUUCCUGGCGCGACCCGCGCCGCGCGCGCUGCAGGUGUGUGUCUCUAUACUGUACGGUCGGAGGCGGCGGACGGCGGGCGCGCGCGCUGGCUGGCGGCCGCGCUCACGUGUCUGCGGCUCGCCAAGCCCGAGCACGCCUUCCUGGCGCGACCCGCGCCGCGCGCGCUGCAGGUGAUCGGACCUGACGAGCUAGCAGCAGAACUCCGUGAAGAAGUGCCAGACUCCCUCGAUCCCGUACAGCAGGCGUUGCUUGGAGGCGGAAAUAUCGAUUUCGAUGGGCUCUACCCGCAUCUGAAAGACGCGAGUGCUGA